RNAcentral lists this ribosomal RNA (496 nucleotides) under uncultured bacterium. RNAcentral's name for it is "partial 16S ribosomal RNA". It matches the Rfam family "Bacterial small subunit ribosomal RNA", at positions 28 to 506 of the family's 1533-position model. The record is from RNAcentral.
GAUGAACGCUGGCGGCGUGCCUAAUACAUGCAAGUCGAGCGAACGGACGAGAAGCUUGCUUCUCUGAUGUUAGCGGCGGACGGGUGAGUAACACGUGGAUAACCUACCUAUAAGACUGGGAUAACUUCGGGAAACCGGAGCUAAUACCGGAUAAUAUUUUGAACCGCAUGGUUCAAAAGUGAAAGACGGUCUUGCUGUCACUUAUAGAUGGAUCCGCGCUGCAUUAGCUAGUUGGUAAGGUAACGGCUUACCAAGGCAACGAUGCAUAGCCGACCUGAGAGGGUGAUCGGCCACACUGGAACUGAGGCACGGUCCAGACUCCUACGGGAGGCAGCAGUAGGGAAUCUUCCGCAAUGGGCGAAAGCCUGACGGAGCAACGCCGCGUGAGUGAUGAAGGUCUUCGGAUCGUAAAACUCUGUUAUUAGGGAAGAACAUAUGUGUAAGUAACUGUGCACAUCUUGACGGUACCUAAGCAGAAAGCCACGGCUAACUACGU